Molecule: transfer RNA, 82 nt
Filed under: Alosa alosa (allis shad)
Lineage: Eukaryota; Metazoa; Chordata; Actinopteri; Clupeiformes; Clupeidae
Description: tRNA-Ser
Rfam family: tRNA
About the family: Transfer RNA (tRNA) molecules are approximately 80 nucleotides in length. Their secondary structure includes four short double-helical elements and three loops (D, anti-codon, and T loops).
Source: RNAcentral
GACGAGGUGGCCGAGUGGUUAAAGGCGAUGGACUGCUAAUCCAUUGUGCUCUGCAGCGUGGGUUCGAAUCCCAUCCUCGUCG